UGAGGGAUGAAGGCCUUCGGGUUGUAAACCUCUUUCAGCAGGGAAGAAGCGCAAGUGACGGUACCUGCAGAAGAAGCGCCGGCUAACUACGUGCCAGCAGCCGCGGUAAUACGUAGGGCGCAAGCGUUGUCCGGAAUUAUUGGGCGUAAAGAGCUCGUAUGCGGUUUGUCGCGUCUGGUGUGAAAACUCGAGGCUCAACCUCGAGCUUGCAUCGGGUACGGGCAGACUAGAGUGCCGUAGGGGAGACUGGAAUUCCUGGUGUAGCGGUGGAAUGCACAGAUAUCAGGAGGAACACCGAUGGCGAAGGCAGGUCUCUGGGCCGCAACUGACGCUGAGGAGCGAAAGCAUGGGGAGCGAACAGGAUUAGAUACCCUGGUAGUCCAUGCCGUAAACGUUGGGCACUAGGUGUGGGGCUCAUUCCACGAGUUCCGUGCCGCAGCAAACGCAUUAAGUGCCCCGCCUGGGGAGUACGGCCGCAAGGCUAAAACUCAAAGGAAUUGACGGGGGCCCGCACAAGCGGCGGAGCAUGCGGAUUAAUUCGAUGCAANNNGAAUAACCUUACCAAGGCUUGACAUGCACGGGAAGCCACCAGAGAUGGUGGUCUCUUUGGACACUCGUGCACAGGUGGUGCAUNGUUGUCGUCAGCUCGUGUCGUNNNAUGNNNNGUUAAGUCCCGCAACGAGCGCAACCCUCGUCCCAUGUUGCCAGCGGGUUAUGCCGGGGACNNNUGGGAGACUGCCGG
Molecule: ribosomal RNA, 742 nt
Filed under: Cellulomonas sp. 14Ma
Lineage: Bacteria; Bacillati; Actinomycetota; Actinomycetes; Micrococcales; Cellulomonadaceae
Description: bacterial SSU rRNA
Rfam family: Bacterial small subunit ribosomal RNA
Source: RNAcentral